ACAAGGACAUUACUGAUAUUAAUAAUGCACGAUUCCAGAAGUUUUGUGCAACGUACAAAUCUAAGAGUACAGAUGAACCUUUUCAAAAAGACUUACUCAGAUAUGACGCGUCUAAUUUACCACCGUGUAAAGCAGAAUUACACCAACAUCUCUUAAGAACUCAAUAUAUUACAAGUAUUUGGCGAAACGCUCAUCUAUGUACUCCAACAUUUUUGUUGCCUGAAAGACACGGUUGGACUAUAAAAGACAACAGAUAUGAGUUUAAAUGGUUUGAGGGUGAUUGUAUGCCACGAACUGUUCUAGAUGCAAUUAAGACUGGUUCAACUAGCGAGCAAAAUUCUGACAACGAAGAUAAUGAGCAAACUUUUUAUGACCAAGACAUGUAUUCAAGUGAUGAUUCUACAGAAGAAGAAUCAGAGGACAGUGGUGACGAAGACUAAAAUUAAAGAUACCUUUUAAAAUAUUUGUAUAAUACUGGUUAAAAAUAUUUUUUAUAAUAAUAAACCUGUAGAAUUAAUAACUGUACAAUUUCUUUUUUUGUUGAUUUAAUA
RNAcentral lists this unclassified non-coding RNA (551 nucleotides) under Athalia rosae (coleseed sawfly). RNAcentral's name for it is "misc RNA ENSAEAG00005003280.1". The record is from RNAcentral. Lineage: Eukaryota; Metazoa; Arthropoda; Insecta; Hymenoptera; Athaliidae.